Molecule: long non-coding RNA, 276 nt
Organism: Amphiprion ocellaris (clown anemonefish)
Lineage: Eukaryota; Metazoa; Chordata; Actinopteri; Pomacentridae
Exons: 3
Source: RefSeq, a predicted model, not a curated record
UAAGGAUGUCAGCUGAGCGGAAGGGAUAAAAGCAAAACACGAAUUCAAAAAGGGAAUAAACAAACUGCAAACAUUUCAGUUGUUGCAACUUUGGACUCAAAGCCACAAAUAUUGACUUCAAGAGUGCAAGAGGAAAGGAUUACCACAGACCUGACCGUGAACACCGUGGACACCCACCUCAGGGAGACGCUGCCUAAGAUCUCAAGGCUGCUUGGUCGUGGUCUUUCUGGCACGUACUCUUCCAAGAUGAGCCGGGAAGUUUAACACUGAUGGAAU